This 253-nucleotide ribosomal RNA is filed under the name uncultured prokaryote. RNAcentral describes it as "partial 16S ribosomal RNA". It matches the Rfam family "Bacterial small subunit ribosomal RNA", at positions 524 to 776 of the family's 1533-position model. The record is from RNAcentral.
UACAGAGGGGGCAAGCGUUGUUCGGAAUUAUUGGGCGUAAAGGGCGCGUAGGCGGUGCGGUAAGUCACCUGUGAAAUCUCUGGGCUCAACUCAGAGUCUGCAGGCGAAACUGCCGUGCUUGAGUGUGGGAGAGGUGAGUGGAAUUCUCGGUGUAGCGGUGAAAUGCGUAGAUAUCGGGAGGAACACCUGUGGCGAAGGCGGCUCUCUGGCCCGGACCUGACGCUGAGGCGCGAAAGCGUGGGGAGCAAACAGG